CCGCCCCUCCCGGGGGUCCCCGCCCCGCCCCCUCUCUGCCGGGGGUCGCCCUGCCCGGAGCAGUCGCGCGGAGACUGCGCGGCCUCCGCCUCUACGCGCUCGCGGUCGCCGCUCCUCUCCCGCCUUUGUUCUCGGGUCGCCCCUCUCGCUGGUGGCGCUCCGAGAGAGCAGCGGAGCCACCUGCCCAGGCCACGCUUCCCCGAGCAUCCGCAGCUGCACCCGGGGGCUGUCGGCGCCCGCCCCGGAGCGUGCGGGAGGCACAGCGGGAAGAAGUCGCUGAGAUUCGGCCCUCGUGGCUUUGCGUGCCCGCGUGGUUGAUGCCUCCGCCGAGAACGCGGUCGGCCGGGAGCCGGGGAGGAGCGUGGACGCCGGCCUGGCAGGUACCCCCGCGAGAACGUGGGAGCCGGUGUAUUUCAGCUGCAUUUAUUACUGAUCUCGGGCUGCACCAGGGCACUUGUAGGACCGCACUAAAAACAGCGGAAAGUGAGGAGCCAAGCCUGGGUCCGGGGCGGCCCGCCGUACAGCUGGCCUCACGGAUUCCACUGCCUGCGCCUGCAGAUGACUUGUUCUGGAGAGUAGAGAAUGUUCUCGGAUUUAAAGUACAAUCCGGUUUCCUUUCCAUUCAUUAUAGUUGCCUACACUCAACAAACAAAAGUUGGGAAAGAUAAAGGGAUUAUUCUAGCGCGUCACAUUGACAAACACCGACGUUAACACGCUCAGUCCAGCCUGACUCACUUGCCUCAGGUCAGAGAGGUCACCACUGACGACGCCGGGCCCUCAAGCCGAUCCUAAUCCAGCUUGGUUCUCUCAGCCUCAGCCAGACCAUCCGUUCUUGCCUCUGUCCCACCACGUGCAGGUGUAAGCUUCCGCCGCACUUCUUGUCUGAAUCUGCCAAGAAGAAACUGCAUCUUUCAGCUAAAUUCUUUUCACUGAUCAGGGUAGAGUUUAGCGGUUUUUUUUUUAAGAAAAAAAACAAAAACAAAAAAAAACUCUUAAGCUAUUUGGUACUCCUCUCCCUCCGGGAUUCUGUCUCUAGAUUGUGAAAGCUGUCAGAGAAUGGAGUCAGGGAAAGCCGUGAUGGGAAAGUUCUCACUAAUAAUUGCCUGAUAUAAAGAAUUAGCACAAAAGACUGCCAAAACCACAACCUUGCACAAAGGCCACAAAACUACACAAAAAAAUGCUUCAAGGACAUUUGCGCAGCAACUGCCUGUCCAACCUUGGACUGGCCAUCCCCUUUGUUACUGAUCUUUGUAGCCAAGGAUAAUUGUUUCAAAACAACUUACGUAAUCCUCCUCGUUUUUCCUUUUAAACCCCUUAUCUUCCUUUACCUCCCUGAAUACACCUAUAGUUUACUAUGACACCAUAUUCUACAUUGCAAUGCCCACUUUCAAAUAAAUUUGUCAUGUUUGGCAAACCUGUCUGUUAUUUAGGUUGACAAGAUCAAAUGCAAAUUUAUUCUGGAGUCAACAAAUAACUGAUUCAGUCUUCCAAUGUGCAAGGCAAAGAAGAAUAUUAAGGAGACACUGUAUAGAUUAGAUCCCUGCCUAUAGGCAGCUUCAACACUAAUACAAUAUGGUACGAAUAUAUAAUUGUACUUUAAGGCAGCUUAGGUGGGAAAACAACUAGCAACUAAAAAAAAAAAUGGAGUUUACUACCAACUAAAAAAAAUGGAGGUUUCAAGGUUGACCUAGAAUUUGAAAACUGCUUUAAAGACAGGUAAGAAAGACACAGGUAGAUGUGCAAUGGAAGUAGAAAUUGGGUUUCAAGCCCCAAACAGGCUGAGGGGUGGGAAAAUAGACAUAUUCAGGUACAUCAAUCGUUCCAGUUUGGCAUAAGAAUGAGAUAAAUGAAGAUGGAUUCUAGGAGUUAAGGAUGAAAUAUGUAGGGAGGUACUAUGAUGUAAUGGAGAGAACAAAGAUUUCAAGUUAAGACUUUGGUUUAAAUCCCAGCUGUGCCUCUUAUUAGCUGUGUGAUCAAAGGUAAAUUAGUUAAUCUCUCUGACCCUCCAUUUCCUCAUUUGUAUGAUAACAAUAAUGUCCAAUUAUUCCACAAAUAUUUUAUGGCAAGCCAAGUAUUAACUAAGAACUAUGUUAAAUGAUGAAG
RNAcentral lists this long non-coding RNA (2103 nucleotides) under Homo sapiens (human). RNAcentral describes it as "non-protein coding lnc-ERMARD-2:4". Lineage: Eukaryota; Metazoa; Chordata; Mammalia; Primates; Hominidae. The record is from RNAcentral.